UAAGGAAUAUUGGACAAUGGACGCAAGUCUGAUCCAGCCAUGCCGCGUGAAGGAUGACUGCCCUCUGGGUUGUAAACUUCUUUUAUAGGGGAAGAAAGUUAUUUUUUAGGAUAUUUGACGGUACCCUAUGAAUAAGCACCGGCUAACUCCGUGCCAGCAGCCGCGGUAAUACGGAGGGUGCAAGCGUUAUCCGGAUUCACUGGGUUUAAAGGGUGCGUAGGCGGGUAUGUAAGUCAGUGGUGAAAUACCGGAGCUUAACUUCGGAACUGCCAUUGAUACUAUAUAUCUUGAAUAUUGUGGAGGUAAGCGGAAUAUGUCAUGUAGCGGUGAAAUGCUUAGAGAUGACAUAGAACACCGAUUGCGAAGGCAGCUUGCUACGCAAAUAUUGACGCUGAGGCACGAAAGCGUGGGGAUCAAAACAGGAUUAGAUACCCUGGUAGUCCACGCCCUAAAACGAUGAUUACUCGACAUUAGCGAUACACAGUUAGUGUCUGAGCGAAAGCAUUAAGUAAUCCACCUGGGAAGUACGACCGCAAGGUUGAAACUCAAAGGAAUUGACGGGGUCAUAGCUG
This 572-nucleotide ribosomal RNA is filed under the name uncultured bacterium. RNAcentral's name for it is "partial 16S ribosomal RNA". It matches the Rfam family "Bacterial small subunit ribosomal RNA", at positions 355 to 932 of the family's 1533-position model. The record is from RNAcentral.